Molecule: long non-coding RNA, 1314 nt
Organism: Capsicum annuum
Lineage: Eukaryota; Viridiplantae; Streptophyta; Magnoliopsida; Solanales; Solanaceae
Exons: 5
Source: RefSeq, a predicted model, not a curated record
UAAACUCGAAACCUCGUCUCUUUUAAUUUCGAUCUCCCCUAUUUAAAGCAGACAAAACGAGCCGUUGUAAUUUGUAAACAACUUAUUAGUAUUACUGAUGCUGCUUCUUCUUCUUCUUCUUGUUGGGGAGAAGAAGUAACUUGGCUCUCCCAAAUACUAUAAGAAAUUUGAAUUUGUAUACACAUUUUUCACAUUGAUUCGUACCGUUUUCAAGAAGAACUAAUCCCUUAUUGUCGCCGCGUGAUUUAGCAAAUACAUUGAUGGAGGAAGAUUCUGAUUCUUGUAACUCCAAUCAAUAUUCAAGGUUAGCAAAGAAGUUUGGAGCUGCUAUCGUUACUCUUGAGCAUCAGUAUUAUGGGAAGAGUUCACCCUUCAAGUCUUUAUCAACUGGGAAUCUGAAAUAUCUGUCAUCAAAAUAGGCACAUUAUAACUUAAGGGCUUUCAGGAAUUUCUAUCAGGCUGGCAUCUUGAUCCUAUUUCCUUUAUCCGUGUAGGAUAACUGGAUAAGCCAACCUCCAAAUUUGUGGCACUAUAGAUGGCAUUGGCAUCUUGAUCCUAUUUCCUUUAUCCGUGUAGGAUAACUGGAUAAGCCAACCUCCAACUUUGUGGCACUGGAGAUGGCAUGCCUUGGGAUUAUAGCCCUUCGCCUAGAACGAACUUAAAAUCUGAAGAACCAUAUUUAGUGCCUCUUACAUAAUCUCUUGCCAUAACUGCGGCCAUGGAGUUGACAUGCAAGGUUGUUCCCAGUCUCCAUUAUUACAUGAGGGUAAGAAUAUGUCUAAUAUAAUACUUCAUUCACUUUAGUUUAGUUGCUAUUAUGUUACCUUAAAUAGGGAAAGAAGAGUCAAAAUUAUUAUACUAUUAAUUGGGCAACAUAUAUGAAAGUCGAGUGUAAAAUGAUUAAAAAAAAGAUAAGCAUAUAAGAGAAGAUGAACAUAAAGAGAAUGCAAUUACGAAGUAAUUUAUAUGUUUUCUAAUAUAAAAAGGAAAAAUUAAAAAAAGUACCGUGCCUAGGUGGGACAGGCGGGAAAGGAGGGUCCUAGGCGUGGUCCCGGAUCCAGGCAGGGGAGGGGGCGGUGUUGCAAGACCUGGGUGUGGUCCCCGGUCCAAGCGGGGGAAUGGGGUCCUCGGCCUAGGCGUAGUCCAGGGCUAGGCGGGGGACAAUUUCGGGUUUGAGGUCCCGGGCUCGAGCGGAACCUGGGACCCGGAGGGACGGGACGGUCCCGGGCUCGAAAGGAGCCUGGGACUCGGAGGGAGGGAGAGGCGAUCCCGGGCUCGAGUGGAACCUGGGACCUGAGGGGGAGAGGGGGCAGU